CACGGUCAUGCCCAUAAGAUCAGGCUGUUCAUGAUUUGUUGGAACGGGACCUCAGUCUGCUCGCAACACAGUCAGGGCUUCGUUCGAUCCACUUCCUCUUCUUUGGACCCGUCGGCUUAGAUGGAGUGGCACACCCAAUGUCCAGAUUUACUUGACAAUCCUGAGAGUCAGAAGUCACGACAGAUUCGCUCCUGCUAUCAUCAUUGUCGCUGUCAUCAGGGGGAUUAUUCACUUGGUGGUCAGCUUCUACCUUCUGGAUAGCUUUGCCGCUCAUUUCUGCAUCCUCUUGAUCCUCCUUAGCAACUGGAGCCUGGUCAGAUUCGGAUGAGGCUUCUGACUUGGUAGCUGCCACCUUGUUUGAAUCAGCUGAGCCUGCUGGGGAUGCACGCUGUGUUGCGAUGAGAUAGUGAGCCACAGACUUAUCAUAUCAGUACCUUCCUAUACGCAGCACCAGUUGGAAACCAUCCUUUCUUAGUUCUGCAGAUACUGCAAUUGCAAAUGCCACGACAAACUGGACAUAUCCAAUCAGGAUUCUUC
This 537-nucleotide small RNA is filed under the name Oryza sativa Japonica Group (Japanese rice). RNAcentral describes it as "sRNA Os11g0568401". The record is from RNAcentral. Lineage: Eukaryota; Viridiplantae; Streptophyta; Magnoliopsida; Poales; Poaceae.